ACUUUGGCUGUCUUUACAGCCACUAACAAAAAUAUAAAAGGUAUAU
Non-coding RNA from Phalacrocorax carbo (great cormorant), 46 nucleotides. NCBI's taxonomy places the organism in Eukaryota, Metazoa, Chordata, Aves, Suliformes, Phalacrocoracidae. The record is from Rfam.